This 1437-nucleotide ribosomal RNA is filed under the name uncultured organism. Its description in RNAcentral is "partial small subunit ribosomal RNA". It matches the Rfam family "Bacterial small subunit ribosomal RNA". The record is from RNAcentral.
GGCGGCGUGCUUAACACAUGCAAGUCGAACGGAAAGGCCCUGCUUUUGUGGGGUGCUCGAGUGGCGAACGGGUGAGUAACACGUGAGUAACCUGCCCUUGACUUUGGGAUAACUUCAGGAAACUGGGGCUAAUACCGGAUAGGAGCUCCUGCUGCAUGGUGGGGGUUGGAAAGUUUCGGCGGUUGGGGAUGGACUCGCGGCUUAUCAGCUUGUUGGUGGGGUAGUGGCUUACCAAGGCUUUGACGGGUAGCCGGCCUGAGAGGGUGACCGGCCACAUUGGGACUGAGAUACGGCCCAGACUCCUACGGGAGGCAGCAGUGGGGAAUAUUGCACAAUGGGCGGAAGCCUGAUGCAGCAACGCCGCGUGCGGGAUGACGGCCUUCGGGUUGUAAACCGCUUUCGCCUGUGACGAAGCGUGAGUGACGGUAAUGGGUAAAGAAGCACCGGCUAACUACGUGCCAGCAGCCGCGGUGAUACGUAGGGUGCGAGCGUUGUCCGGAUUUAUUGGGCGUAAAGGGCUCGUAGGUGGUUGAUCGCGUCGGAAGUGUAAUCUUGGGGCUUAACCCUGAGCGUGCUUUCGAUACGGGUUGACUUGAGGAAGGUAGGGGAGAAUGGAAUUCCUGGUGGAGCGGUGGAAUGCGCAGAUAUCAGGAGGAACACCAGUGGCGAAGGCGGUUCUCUGGGCCUUUCCUGACGCUGAGGAGCGAAAGCGUGGGGAGCGAACAGGCUUAGAUACCCUGGUAGUCCACGCUGUAAACGGUGGGUACUAGGUGUGGGGUCCAUUCCACGGGUUCCGUGCCGUAGCUAACGCUUUAAGUACCCCGCCUGGGGAGUACGGCCGCAAGGCUAAAACUCAAAGGAAUUGACGGGGCCCCGCACAAGCGGCGGAGCAUGCGGAUUAAUUCGAUGCAACGCGUAGAACCUUACCUGGGUUUGACAUGGAUCGGGAGUGCUCAGAGAUGGGUGUGCCUCUUUUGGGGUCGGUUCACAGGUGGUGCAUGGCUGUCGUCAGCUCGUGUCGUGAGAUGUUGGGUUAAGUCCCGCAACGAGCGCAACCCUUGUUCACUGUUGCCAGCACGUUAUGGUGGGGACUCAGUGGAGACCGCCGGGGUCAACUCGGAGGAAGGUGGGGAUGACGUCAAGUCAUCAUGCCCCUUAUGUCCAGGGCUUCACGCAUGCUACAAUGGCUGGUACAGGGAGUGGCGAGCCUGUGAGGGUGAGCGAAUCUCGGAAAGCCGGUCUCAGUUCGGAUUGGGGUCUGCAACUCGACCUCAUGAAGUCGGAGUCGCUAGUAAUCGCAGAUCAGCAACGCUGCGGUGAAUACGUUCCCGGGGCUUGUACACACCGCCCGUCAAGUCAUGAAAGUUGGUAACACCCGAAGCCGGUGGCCUAACCGUUGUGGGGGAGCCGUCGAAGGUGGGACUGGUGAUUAGGACU